UACGUAGGUGGCAAGCGUUAUCCGGAUUUACUGGGUGUAAAGGGCGUGUAGGCGGGGACGCAAGUCAGAUGUGAAAACCACGGGCUCAACCUGUGGCCUGCAUUUGAAACUGUGUUUCUUGAGUACUGGAGAGGCAGACGGAAUUCCUAGUGUAGCGGUGAAAUGCGUAGAUAUUAGGAGGAACACCAGUGGCGAAGGCGGUCUGCUGGACAGCAACUGACGCUGAGGCGCGAAAGCGUGGGGAGCAAAUAGG
This 253-nucleotide ribosomal RNA is filed under the name uncultured bacterium. Its description in RNAcentral is "partial 16S ribosomal RNA". It matches the Rfam family "Bacterial small subunit ribosomal RNA", at positions 524 to 776 of the family's 1533-position model. The record is from RNAcentral.